RNAcentral lists this ribosomal RNA (380 nucleotides) under uncultured eukaryote. RNAcentral's name for it is "partial 18S ribosomal RNA". It matches the Rfam family "Eukaryotic small subunit ribosomal RNA", at positions 592 to 976 of the family's 1831-position model. The record is from RNAcentral.
CAAUAGCGUAUAUUAAAGUUGUUGCGGUUAAAAAGCUCGUAGUUGGAUUUCUGCUGAGAACGACCGGUCCGCCCUUUGGGUGUGUAUCUGGCUCUUUCUUGGCAUCUUCUUGGUGAACGUUGCUGCACUUGACUGUGUGGAGCGCUACCCAGGACUUUUACUUUGAGGAAAUUAGAGUGUUUCAAGCAGGCAUACGCCUUGAAUACAUUAGCAUGGAAUAAUAAGAUAGGACCUCGGUUCUAUUUUGUUGGUUUCUAGAGCUGAGGUAAUGAUUAAUAGGGACAAUUGGGGGUAUCCGUAUCAUCGCGUCAGAGGUGGAAUUCUUGGAUUGCGAUGCGACGAACUACUGCGAAAGCAUUUACCAAGGAUGUUUUCAUUGA